This 532-nucleotide ribosomal RNA is filed under the name Cephalotrichella sp. Palaeo_CB141_MCB004_18_01. RNAcentral's name for it is "partial 16S ribosomal RNA". It matches the Rfam family "Bacterial large subunit ribosomal RNA", at positions 1834 to 2624 of the family's 2925-position model. Lineage: Eukaryota; Metazoa; Nemertea; Palaeonemertea; Archinemertea; Cephalotrichellidae. The record is from RNAcentral.
UUUUUGAAUAUAUAAAAAGUACUUUCUGCCCGGUGUUUUUAUUAACGGCUGCGGUACUCUGACCGUGCGAAGGUAGCAUAAUCACUUGCCUUUUAAUUGGAGGCUAGUAUGAAUGGGAUCACAGAAAAUAAUCUUUCUUUUUUUUAUUUGUGAAAAUUUUUGUUGAAGUGAAGAAACUUUAAUUUAGAAAAAAGACAAGAAGACCCUAUCGAGUUUUAUCCUUAAAAAUAAAUUUAUCUUUUUUAUUUUAUAAAAAAAGUUAUUUAUCUUAAGGGUUGAAUUGGGGCGAUUGAGGAAAUUUUUGUAACUUCCUUUAUAUUUUUUUGUUUUAAAUCUUUAAAGAUCCUUUCAUAAAGAUUAAAAGAUUAAAUUACCGUAGGGAUAACAGCGUAAUCUUUUUGGAGAGUUCUUAUCGAUAAAAGGGAUUGCGACCUCGAUGUUGGACUAAGAUAAUCUUAAGGUGCAGAAGCUUUAAAGGAUGGGUCUGUUCGACCUUUAAAAUCUUACAUGAUCUGAGUUCAGACCGGCGUGA